Molecule: ribosomal RNA, 550 nt
Filed under: Monaonidiella sp. D2056B
Lineage: Eukaryota; Metazoa; Arthropoda; Insecta; Hemiptera; Diaspididae
Description: partial 28S ribosomal RNA
Source: RNAcentral
AUCUGGGCGACGGAAUUCAGGAUGGCGAGCGUGCCUUCGCGGGUACGCUGGUCGUUUGAUAUUUCCGUCGCCAAUCGACCGCAGACGUCGCGACCUGUUCGCGGUCGGUCCCUGCUCGGAGGAGCCGCGUUCGAGUUCGUUGCGUGCACGUUUCGGCGUGUCAUGCGGCGAAGGCGUGGAUCUCUGACUGGCCGUCGGACAGUAUGUUCAACGGUGUCCGGUGUCGUCGUCUCGUACGCGCGUACACUGGUACCGGUCAGCGACGAAUUCUUCGGGCCUCUUUCCGACCCGUCUUGAAACACGGACCAAGGAGUCUAACAUGCGCGCGAGUCGCGGGGUGUCGAGCGUACAGUGGUACGUUCGUUACGUUGCGAAACCCGUACAUGUCGAAGGCGUAAUGAAAGUGAAUGGGGAAGAUGGUGUCCCGAGUACACGUUCCGCGAUCAUCGGUAUCGCGGCCGGGCACCCGCAUUCCCGGGGCGUCUCAACGGCCCGUCGCUGAUGCGGACUGUCGUCUCCUCGGGUCGGCUGUCGGUCGGCGAUGAACCGA